This 846-nucleotide ribosomal RNA is filed under the name Chloridium aseptatum. RNAcentral describes it as "eukaryotic LSU rRNA". It matches the Rfam family "Eukaryotic large subunit ribosomal RNA", at positions 66 to 946 of the family's 3401-position model. The record is from RNAcentral. Lineage: Eukaryota; Fungi; Ascomycota; Sordariomycetes; Chaetosphaeriales; Chaetosphaeriaceae.
CAACAGGGAUUGCCCUAGUAACGGCGAGUGAAGCGGCAACAGCUCAAAUUUGAAAUCUGGCCCUAGGCCCGAGUUGUAAUUUGCAGAGGAUGCUUCGGGCGCGGUGCCUUCCAAGUCCCCUGGAACGGGGCGCCGGAGAGGGUGAGAGCCCCGUACGGUUGGCGGCCAAGCCUGUGUGAAGCUCCUUCGACGAGUCGAGUAGUUUGGGAAUGCUGCUCUAAGCGGGAGGUAGACCCCUUCUAAAGCUAAAUAUAGGCCAGAGACCGAUAGCGCACAAGUAGAGUGAUCGAAAGAUGAAAAGCACUUUGAAAAGAGGGUUAAAUAGCACGUGAAAUUGUUGAAAGGGAAGCGCUUGUGACCAGACGUGCGCCGGGGUGUUCAGCGGGCGUUCUCGCCCGUGCACUCGCCUCGGCGCAGGCCAGCGUCGGUUCGAGUGGGAGGAUAAAGGCGUCUGGAAUGUGGCUCCUCCGGGAGUGUUAUAGCCAGACGUGCCAUGCUCCCGCCCGGACCGAGGUACGCGUUCUGCAAGGACGCUGGCGUAAUGGUCUCCAGCGACCCGUCUUGAAACACGGACCAAGGAGUCGAGGUUUUGCGCGAGUGUUUGGGUGUUAAACCCGCACGCGUAAUGAAAGUGAACGUAGGUGGGAGCUUCGGCGCACCACCGACCGAUCCUGAUGUUUUCGGAUGGAUUUGAGUAAGAGCGUAGGGCCUCGGACCCGAAAGAUGGUGAACUAUGCUUGGAUAGGGUGAAGCCAGAGGAAACUCUGGUGGAGGCUCGCAGCGGUUCUGACGUGCAAAUCGAUCGUCAAAUCUGAGCAUGGGGCGAAAGACUAAUCGAACCAUCUA